Molecule: long non-coding RNA, 7756 nt
Filed under: Ixodes scapularis (black-legged tick)
Lineage: Eukaryota; Metazoa; Arthropoda; Arachnida; Ixodida; Ixodidae
Description: uncharacterized LOC120850839
Source: RNAcentral
UCGAUUUUUGCAGCGCAUUUUGCAUCAACGCCAUGGCUCAAUGCCACCCAAUGACUCGAAUUGUUUCGCUAUUACUCUGCUUCACUUUAUACAAGCAACUUCAAACUUUUCAGGUUAUUUUUGUUGUGCAUCUACCUCCCGCUUACCAGGUUUCCUUUAAAACACUAAAGCCAGCGUCAGUUAUCAAAAUAUAAAUUUAUGACUUUUUUUUACUUUGGUUUCUCGGCUAGUCCCCAUAACACAGGCUUUCUUCAGAAACAAAAGAAUAAUUGCGCAGUACAAUAACAUAAAAAAAUUAAAUGCAAAUGAAAGUUUCACGAAAGUAUUCAUUGGUUCUGAAUUCGUAAUUUGCAUGCUAGAUGUGCAUGGUACAAAGCAUAAUGGAUCCGUUUUUGUCCCUUGUACUUUUUGUAUACACAGGUCUGACUAAAUAUCACAGUAUGGGAACAGACCAAUCACGAAUCAAGGCGUUGUAUGCCAGUCAUGAGUCUGUUCUCCGUUGACAACAUGGCAGCUCCUCCAGUGGCUCCUUGCUCAGAAGCACUCAUCAUCGAAAUUGAGCGGUGUCCAUGGCUAUGGAACGCAAGCCGUAUGGACUACAGGGACACUGGGAAGCGCAAAAAUUCCUGGAAGGCAAUUGGAAUCGCUUUCUGUGAGUAUGACCUCUUAACAGAACUAUAUAAUUUGCGCCUCAACCCAGGGCACCUCUGGACGGCCUGCCUUCAUCGCACGCUUGUUGCCUUCUGUCUAACUUUCACUAUGCAUGAACGUUCCCGUUCACGGUCAGCUGCACGCGCCUGGGCGUACACUCGAAGCUCGCAAGACGCCAAAGUGUUAUCAAAGAUUUGUUUUGGGUCACGCCGGAGGCGAUAGUGCCAAUAGACUUCCCUGCCAUUCGCAAAGAAACGUUUGCGAAGUUCUGCAUGCCAAAUCAAGGAAGGCCGUCGCAUACCUCAGCGAUUAAUUUACAUCACCUGGGAUUCUUUGAACGUGAAACUGAAAUCUCGGUUACCUGGCACCUUCUCUCCAGCUAGGAUUCCAACCCACCAACUGGGGAUUCGAUUCUUUGGGCCGGCGGUUUGCCUCGGAGCCACAGAUGCGGCCUCCCUGCAGCUGUCUGUGACCAUUCACGUCCGAGUGGGCAGCGCACACCCACCCACAACCCACUGCUCGCACCUCUCGUUUGCGUACCUCGCAUAACCAUUUCCCAAAGUCAUGGCACGAAAUGGGAAGCCAUUAUUAAUCGAGCGAUCAGUAAUGAAGAGAUCAAACAGGCAGAACAUAAAAAGACUACAUUUCAAGAUGCUGAAGGAGGUUUGUAAAGUUUGGGUUGAAUACUGGCAAGCAAACCUGGUGCAUGUCUGUUGCACCUAUUGGCUGUCCUAAUUGAAGUUGUGUUAUAAAUCUAGUUCCAUCAUGAUUUCUGUUCUAAAACUUGUAUUCAUAAGCGAUACUUUAGUUAUUUAUGCCACAUUUACUUCAUUCACUUCAGGCAGCGACUCUAACGCCUGCUGUCAGGCUUGGCUGGCCAUGAGGGCCAAGUAUGCGAGAGAAUCGAAGAAACAAAGAGGCCGGAGCGGUGCUGGCCGCGAUGGUCUUGCCGUGCCAACAUGGCACCUCUUCAAGUAACUGGCCUUCCUUAAGGGCCAGAUUCAGCACCGACGCACCAAAGUGCUCCCUGUUGCGGGGGGAGUGGCGUCCACUUCUGCAGCGGCAGCAGACGUUGAAAAAUGAGGCUUGAGCCCAGAGGCAAGUUUGCUUACACGCUACCGGUCUUUAUUCGGAGUGCAGACAAGCUGGCUAAGUUGACGUCAACCAGUUGGUGGCCAAAAUUACCUUCAGGGCUCCUAUUUUGGUCAUGGGUGAGAGCGAGAUCAUUCUCGGCUGUUGACUAUUAUCGUUCAUUAUCAACUAACGAAACAAAAUUAAAUCCGUUUUGCAGUCUACGGUCAGGCAAUAUUUCAGUGACAACUUCUUGCCAACACACAAAUGAGAAGAGAGGUGGCUUCUGACGUGCCUGUCCCAUAUCGCCCAUCUACUGGUCAAUAUUGGGAUUUGUAUGGCUGCAAAACAAUUUGAGAUUUGCUAAGGAACCACAAGUUUGGCAAUUGCUUCCAAUGUCGAAUUGCAAACGGUAGUUUCAGCCAGGAACGGAUUCAGAGGGGAGGUCCGGAUGUCCUGACCCCCCUCUUGAUUUCUGCAUGUGUAAAAAUUUAGGGCGUGUGCAUGUGUAAAACUUUUCCUUACCGCCUUAUCUUUAUGUUUUCUAAUAACAGUGCACAAAUUAAAUUCAGGUUUGCACCCACAGUCAAGGCAGUGCAUUGACAAAUGAUCGUCAAGCUGUCCGCUCGCUUUUUGGUUGUGUUCGCGCAAUCUGUCAUUUAGACAUCUUCCCGUCUGUCCCACAUACUUUUUACCGCACGUCAGCGAGAUCUGAUGGACGACUCUCGCUGCGCAUUCUACAAACAAGCUGCGAUGCUUCUUCACGCAGCCAACCGGUGGUUUGCGGUGAGGGUCCGUCAUUUUGCACAACUUGGCAAGUUUUUCCGGUGCAGAAAGAACCACCCGAGCAUUUACGUGGUUUGCUAUCUUUUUGAUAUUGCGUGCGGUUUUGUGCAUGUAAGGCACAACCGCCAGACUUUGUUUCUUUUGAGCCACAUCUUGGUCUGGACUCGCUACUACUCGUAGCUUCUUACAACUUUUUUUGCAGCCGACACCAGGAGCGUCCCUGGAAAACCGGCAGCCACCAAGCGUUCUGACUGCUCCUUCAGACUUUAAGGCAUUGCAUGAUGACACAACCUUCUGAUGGAGUUCACAAAGCACAAAUUUACAAUUCCUCUCUUAACAAGUUUCAAAUGAGAUGAAUUGAACGGCAACAGGGGCUUAUCUGCUCUUGGUUGGUAUUUCCAACACACGUGUUGUUCCAAAAGUGUGAGCCUGAUAUCUAGAAACUGUAUGACGUUGUCCACAAGUACCUCGUGCGUAAGCUUGAGAGGAUCAAGGAUGGUACUAAAAACUGUUAAAAGGCUGUUCACCACCAAGGAAAAGUGAGAAACAUCAUGGUGAAGAAAAACUAAAUAAUUGUCGACGAAUCUAAAAACCUUGCUACCAUUAAAGUCAUUCAGGCAUUCCGAGAGAACUCUGUCAUGAUGGGCUAAAAAUAUAUCACGUAAAACUGGAGCUAAACACUAGCAAAUACACACCCCUCGCUUCUGAAUAUACACUCCCCUGUUCCACUCAACAAAGGUCGAGUUUAGAUCAAAUGUAAGCAAUUCGAGAAAGUCAUCUACAGUCAUUCCUGCUGCGUUCUGAAAGGCCACCACCCCGUGUUUAUCGAUGCUUUCCUCUACGCAGGUCAGUAGUUUGUCGUGCGGAAGGGAAUAGUAUAAAUUCUUUAUGUCUAGUGAGCAGGCUAGAAAACGUGACGGUCAUUUGUCGAUGCACUUCCAUGACUGUGGGUGCAAACCUGAAUUUAAUUUGUGCACUGUUAUUAGAAAACAGAGAUAAUACAGUAAGCAAAAUUAUAGAGGCAGACCUGAUAAAAAAACUACGGAGAUCGAUGUGUCAGCGUGGCGUCGAUCGAUUUGGGCGACAAAGAGACACAGUUCUUGAGAUCAGUGGCGUGGCAUGGGAUUGGUUGAAGGGCGCGAUGAUGCAGAGUAUUUAUACCCUUGAUUUUCUAACGAACCAGUUGAAGUUGGUGCAUUGUGUUGUCUCAUUCCUACUCUUCGUCCCAGUCGUGAAGCGCUAUUAUGUUCUCCAAGUUUCAGUACCAACUCGCCCAAGAAUCCGCAUUACUCAACUCCUUUUCUUUUCAAUAAAAUCUUCAGUUGAGAGUAAUCGCUUGUCCUGUGUACACCCUUCUACUCCAUCUUCGUUUCUUGUGCGCUGUGUCCCAAUCCGCUAAAUAUAAUCCAAUUUAUAUGAAAUAAAUCUUAUUUAAAUAAAAUAAACCUAAAUUACAUCAAGUAAAAUUUUUUUAACAAAAAAGCUACCUUUUUUUUUUGCAGUCAAGUAAGCACGGAAAUAAUGACAUCUCUCCAUGCACCACAAAUUACAAAUGGGACCUAGUUAAUAAACAGUCCUGUAAUUCUUUACUACAGACUAUCCAGAAAAGCGGUUGCAUUGUGUGACCCUCGUGCGUGAAUAGAAAUGUGUUUUACACAUAUCUAUUUGUUUCGGCCACAAUUACGUUAAUGGCUCAGGUAUUUUUUAUAUUCUUUUGCAAAAAAUAGUGCUUUGAAGCAAGCAUAAUUUUUAUACAUUUUGACUCAAGACUGGGAAGGGAUGGAAAAACACAAGGUCUUGUGUUUGUCCAUCCAUUCUCUUCCCAGUCUCGAGAUUUUUACCGUAGAAUACCAUGCAUCCGCCCAUUUCACAUUAAGCGCCCAUUACCGAAUUUGCAAGAUCUGAGAAAUAUGCGCACAUUUAUAUGUAAAAUUGAUGACUGGACAAGCACUCAUCCACCAUUUUUUUGCGAUUAUCUCCAAAAUUUGAUUGGGCGCUUGCCCGGUAUUUUACGGUAGUCAAAAUGUUAAACCAACACCAGCUCGUUUGCACCCUUACCUUUUGUUCAAUAACUUUUAUUGUGUAUUAAUUAUAAACAUGGAAGUUCCGUUAUGAACCCUGUUUUGACAGAUUUUUAGAAAACUAAUUCAUACGCUCCUAAACCAUAGUAUGCAUUUUGGAGGGAUGUGGCCAUGAAGUAAUUGAACGUGUCUUUAUAUUAUUAAAGUCGUAACCAAUGACGCUAUUUAGUCGCUGCUGAAGGUUUUUUGGACAGUUGUAUUACACUCAACACAAACAGGCUCAUUUUGUUCGUAGGCCACUAAUUUGCUGUUGGAAAUUAUAGUAUUAAAAACUUCAAUAUGCCAAUCUGCACCGAUGACUUUUUGCAGCAUCCUAUGCGAUAUUCAGUUACAAUAUUUUGGAGUACUUACAGUUUUAUGUCGUCACCCAUAUCCUUUUCCAGUUUCAUACUAGUUGCGACUUCACAAAAGUGAAGUCAAAGAAAAAUUGCACUUUUGAAUGUUGUUUAAAUUUUACUAGCGCAUGAGUGGAAGGCAGUAAAAGAGUUACAAUGAUAUACGUAAAACUCUCCCAUUACCUCGCAACUUUUCGCUUUCCCCCGUUAGUCGGGCCACUAACAACCGAGUACACUUUUUUGACACUCACCUGCCGGGUUCUGACUCAUGAGCCCUACUUCGUUUGGACGGGGCCGUACUUGAAUCACAUCUCUGAAUUCGUGUCAAAUAAAACUAUUAUUACUAUGUCCGUGCCUGCCGACAAUAUCGAGGAACUCGCCAAUUCUGCAGUGUUGCCAAAACCUUCCCUCAAAGCUUUAAGAGGCAGCCAAAGGAACGACCUCCUGCACGUCUCGGAAGGAGCCCCCAUGUCCAGUGAAAAGAGAUGGGUCACGUCGAUUUAUUUUAUCAGAACAUCCGUGGCUAACGUACAAAAAUUGAACGCUUUUGUACGGACGUGGAGUCCGGCGCCGCAAUUGGCGGCAACAUCCCGCAGAGCCCUCGAGCUCCGAAUCACUACAGCUGCCGACUCCAGUCCCUGGCACAUGGACGACGGCGACACAGCGACACAGGACCAACUUUGGAGCCGCUGGUGCAUUGGCGGCAAAGUGAUAGCCUCCUCCUUGGCUACACCACUGGAUGCAAGGGAGGUGGCACGUGCACCUACCAUAAUGACGAGAUGUUUCAGUGACAUACUCUUAAGUUGCGAUCACACUGCUAAUCCCGAUUGGUCAAGAGACGGUCUUCAGGGACACUGUCUGAGGCUUUUCCUUCCAUGAUGGUCAUAUUGGUCACUCAAGAACUGACUGCAGACAUGUUCGAAGCCCACACAUUUAUCGAACGAACAUCCUUCGAAGAUGCUCGAGACGUUUCCGCAGGUACUUCCGUAGUGAACAUUGCGCUUUUGUAGGAUGCACGAGCAGGUCGACUUUGCGAUUCCAACCCGUAAAGUCAAUGCUGUUUAUUCCUUCGUAACGUUUGAUUGUAAUUAUUGUUAUUUGUUCGUACCAUCCUGAUGAGGUUCCCGGUUUCAGGCUUGGAGGUGAUCGAAUGUCACAGAAUGUGGAAGGCCAUCCGCAACCGCUAUGUUAAGAGACGAGAGCGGCGAAAGGCAAGAGUAAAGCUGGCGAGGAGGAUGUCCAGCCUCCCACGUGGGUUCUUUUCAAGUUCCUGGGGUUCCCCGAUGGUCAAAUCUGUGCAGAUGGUAGGCACAGAAUGUUUUGGACAACAAAGGGCACUGCAGAUUGUGCCGUAUUUUGUAUGCAUUGUAACGAUGACGUGGCAGAACCCUGGUUUGUCCCAAGACAAAAGGAGCCUCACACAACACCAUGUCUACAAACUGGAGUGAAGGAGCCCCCACUUCCGUGCCAGGAGAGAUCCUUGCGGAAAUGUAUUGCCCUGGAGAGACCGCAACCCCCGCAGAAAAUAGACAGCCUGGGAUGCCUGCUGAUGCCGAGAUGGAAGACAUACUGUAGCAUGAAGACAUACAUUUUAUUUAACAACUGCCUUCGAUAAGCAUGUUUGCAAGUGGCUCCUGUGUAAUUACCCUUUUCUCACUCUCCUCUUUCAUUUAAGCGAUUGGCUAUUCUUGGAGGCAGGUCCAAAGAUUCGCCGGUUUGUCAUGUCCUUUAUAAUUAGGAUUCCAUACUUUUGCGGGUUUAUCGGAGCACCGGUAAACCCUGCAAAAUUGACCUGCGGUCCAGUUCUGUCAGUGUCGCAGAAAACCGAAAACCCCCAAAUUGGAGCAGUUUUUGAAUGAAGAAUCCUAAGCUUCACUCAAAGAAAUAGUUCUGUGCUGCUUUAUUUUACGGUGUUAGAACACACUCCCCAAUUAACUGUUUACGUCCCUGGUAUCUUUGGAACACCCCUUAUCUAGUUCCUUUUUUUUUUUAUUGGUACGGAAAAUAAAUGAACUCACAGAUUUUAGUAGUAUAGAACGCCAAAGCUGAAGUCUUCUGAGUGACACCAUAACUAGAUGUAACAGCGCUCUUUAAUAAGAGUUUGUGUUCUAAUUUAUUAACACUUGUUUGCCACAUUCUUGUGCAGGAAAACAAAAGAAACUGACAAUUGAGGAAGCUCUCGAUUUAUAUCUUAGUCUACCAGAUAACGCUGAUGACCGUAAAAAUGAAUGGGAAGAAUCCGACCACAAAGCGCCGUCCGACCUUGACGCCGAAGAGAGCAUCGAGGAGAAGCAAGUGACCCCAGGGACGCAAAAUCAGAAAAGGCAAGCCCCGAAAAGACUUCACGGUCAGCCCCAAGAAGCGUCGCAUCUCGACUGACAAAUCAGUCGCUGCAGAAGAUGGUGCAGUUGCCGAAGGAGUGUGGCCUUCACAACAAAGCCUUCAGAGGGCAGCAUGCCACUGGACGCAUUCCAACUUUAUUUUUCUGAAGACGUUAUCGGUCACAUUACAGUCCGGACCAACUUGUAUGCAAGUCAAACGAGAAGAACAGACUAGGACCCCUAUCACGCCCGAAGAACUGAGAGCAUAGGUCAGAAUGCUCGUCCUUACGAGUAGAGACCCCAUGCACCAUCUUCAUCUUUAUUAGAGUUCGGACAGCCUGUAAAACGUGAAGGAGAUCUCGCAAGCGAUUUCGUGCGAGAGAUUCCAAAAAAUAACAAACUGUCCGAAUCUAAACGACAACACUCAUGACAGCGGGGAUGCGGAAGACAAUGAUCGCUGCUACAAAAUGCGUCCACUGAUUCAUAUGAUGAAAUAAAAGUUUGAAAGCGA